CACUUUCAAAGGAUAACAGCCUUCCACUAAUUUUAGGAAUUAGCACAUCU
RNAcentral lists this transfer RNA (50 nucleotides) under Hemidactylus garnotii. RNAcentral describes it as "partial tRNA-Leu". The record is from RNAcentral. Lineage: Eukaryota; Metazoa; Chordata; Lepidosauria; Squamata; Gekkonidae.